AUGAACUGAAGCUGAGACAGACCAGACAUGUGGAAAAUUAAUGGAAAAACUUCUUUAGGAAGAGAAAUUCAUUUGUGGGACAAACUCUAGGAACAUUUGCAGCAGAAGCUGCAGUUAAGAGUUGGCACAAACAGGAUCAGAAAUGCUGAGAGGGGGAAGCUCACUCCUUUGUACAGUUGCCGUGCAUUGACUGCGAUGACCUCUGAUAACAUGACAAGUUUCAGAAAUGGUAGAAGAUAUUGGAUCAUAGGCCCAUCAAAUCAGUAGGAGUCAUCCAUGAUGCCAAAACAAACAAGACAUGAGAAAUUUGAAGAUCAGAAGAGGCCAUCCUGAUCAUCUAGUCUGAUCUCCAGCACAACACAGGCCAUAGAAUCUCAUCUAGUAACUUCUGCAUCAAGCCUACAACUUCUGUUUGCACUAUAGCAUGUUUUCUCGAAAGACACCCAGUCAUA
Mauremys reevesii (Reeves's turtle) is the source of this 452-nucleotide long non-coding RNA. RefSeq lists it as uncharacterized. The transcript is spliced from 3 exons. Lineage: Eukaryota; Metazoa; Chordata; Testudines; Geoemydidae. The record is from RefSeq and is a predicted model, not a curated record.